RNAcentral lists this ribosomal RNA (440 nucleotides) under uncultured bacterium. RNAcentral describes it as "partial 16S ribosomal RNA". It matches the Rfam family "Bacterial small subunit ribosomal RNA", at positions 338 to 795 of the family's 1533-position model. The record is from RNAcentral.
CCUACGUGCGGCAGCAGUGGGGAAUAUUGCACAAUGGGGGGAACCCUGAUGCAGCAACGCCGCGUGGGUGAAGAAGUACUCCGGUAUGUAAAGCCCUGUCAGCAGGGAAGAAAAUGACGGUACCUGACCAAGAAGCCCCGGCUAACUACGUGCCAGCAGCCGCGGUAAUACGUAGGGGGCAAGCGUUAUCCGGAUUUACUGGGUGUAAAGGGAGCGUAGACGGCAAGGCAAGUCUGGAGUGAAAGCCCGUGGCCCAACCACGGGACUGCUUUGGAAACUGUGUUGCUGGAGUGCAGGAGGGGUAAGCGGAAUGCCUAGUGGAGCGGUGAAAGGCUUAGAGAUCAUACAGAACACCGAUUGCGAAGGCAGCUUACCAAACUAUAUCUGACGUUGAGGCACGAAAGCGUGGGUAGCAAACAGGAUUAGAUACCCCAGUAGUC